Molecule: long non-coding RNA, 290 nt
Filed under: Polistes fuscatus (common paper wasp)
Lineage: Eukaryota; Metazoa; Arthropoda; Insecta; Hymenoptera; Vespidae
Description: uncharacterized LOC122519844
Source: RNAcentral
GGUUGGAGGGUGGAAAGAGGGAAGAAGGUCGAGAGAGAGAGAGUUGGGCCAAGUCAAUUCUUAAAUCAUCCGAACGAUCACAGGGUCUCGAGAGUACGUCGUUCUCAAAACUACUAUACCACAAAAUAAGAGGGGUUUCCUUCCUCUUUCCUUCCCACCACUGGUCUUCGUUGUCGCCCGUUCAAGCAUGUGCCGUUGACAAGGCAUCAGAAAUAGCAGGGUGAAAUGAGAGGUCCAGCAGCCGGGUAGUCAUCUUCUCGAAAAAGAACAACAUUUUUUUCUUAACAAAA